Molecule: ribosomal RNA, 216 nt
Filed under: Triticum aestivum (bread wheat)
Lineage: Eukaryota; Viridiplantae; Streptophyta; Magnoliopsida; Poales; Poaceae
Description: partial small subunit ribosomal RNA
Source: RNAcentral
AUGGUGAAUGUGAUAAUUAAUCUUCCCUUGAGUGGUGGGGUGAACCCGUUCAGGAGGGGUGACAACCUCCUUGUUAUGUGCGACUGCUACACACCACAAGGUGUUCCAAUCCCCACCAACAAGAGGCACAAUGCUGCCAAGAUCUUCAACACCUCGAAGGUUGCAGCUGAGGAGAGAUGGUUGGAAGAAAAGAAGAAGAUCCAGAGAAGAUCUUAG